GCUCACGACGAACGCUGGCGUCGUGCAUAAUGCAUGCAAGUCGAACGCACUCGACCUUCGGGUCAUAUGGGUGAGUGGCGAACGGGUGAGUAACACGUGAGGAACCCACCCCGGAGUUCGGAAUAACUCAGGGAAACUUGAGCUAAUACCGAAUGCCUUCUCAACAUAGAAUGGUGAGGAGAAGAAAGAUUCAUCGCUCCGGGACGGCCUCGCGACCUAUCAGCUUGUUGGUGAGGUAACGGCUCACCAAGGCAGUGACGGGUAACUAGUCUGAGAGGACAAAUAGCCACACUGGGACUGAGACACGGCCCAGACUCCUACGGGAGGCAGCAGCAGGGAAUCUUGCACAAUGGGCGAAAGCCUGAUGCAGCGACGCCGCGUGGGGGAUGAAGGCCUUAGGGUCGUGAACCCCUUUCAGCAGGGAGGAAGAUGACGGUACCUGCAGAAGAAGCCCCGGCCAACUACGUGCCAGCAGCCGCGGUAAGACGUAGGGGGCGAGCGUUGUCCGGAUUUAUUGGGCGUAAAGAGCUCGUAGGCGGUUGCGUAAGUCGGAUGUGAAAACUCAGGGCUCAACCCUGAGACGCCAUCCGAUACUGCGCUGACUUGAAUCCAGUAGGGGAGUGUGGAAUUCCUGGUGUAGCGGUGAAAUGCGCAGAUAUCAGGAGGAACACCCAUGGCGAAGGCAGCACUCUGGGCUGGUAUUGACGCUGAGGAGCGAAAGCAUGGGUAGCGAACAGGAUUAGAUACCCUGGUAGUCCAUGCCGUAAACGGUGGGCACUAGGUGUGGGGACUUUCAACGGUUUCCGUGCCGAAGCUAACGCAUUAAGUGCCCCGCCUGGGGAGUACGGGCGCAAGGCUAAAACUCAAAG
This 869-nucleotide ribosomal RNA is filed under the name uncultured bacterium. Its description in RNAcentral is "bacterial SSU rRNA". It matches the Rfam family "Bacterial small subunit ribosomal RNA", at positions 22 to 906 of the family's 1533-position model. The record is from RNAcentral.